Molecule: long non-coding RNA, 351 nt
Organism: Helianthus annuus (common sunflower)
Lineage: Eukaryota; Viridiplantae; Streptophyta; Magnoliopsida; Asterales; Asteraceae
Exons: 3
Source: RefSeq, a predicted model, not a curated record
CGAUCAGAAGAAGAGGGCAACCAGGGGUUUCCUUCAAACCCUAAAAUCCUCACAAAAUUCACAAAUUGAAGCCUCUAAUCUGCUCUAAAUCAAGCUUCAAACAUGAAUUAGUGAUCACCUCGUUGCAGGGAUCAAAAGGCAAGGAAUACGGAUCGUCAAGCGGACACGUCGGAGGGGAUACACGUUUGAAAGGUGUGCACUAAAGGUGAAGAUGGACCUAACCCAGAUGGUGAUCAAGCUAUUAUCAAGAACUGAACGCACUAAACAAAGCUUCCGCACUUGAUCUAUUUUGUUUUAGCGAUAUAUAGAUACUUGAACUAUGUUUUCAAACGUUAUCUAGUAGACACUUGA